Austrofundulus limnaeus is the source of this 443-nucleotide long non-coding RNA. RefSeq lists it as uncharacterized. NCBI's taxonomy places the organism in Eukaryota, Metazoa, Chordata, Actinopteri, Cyprinodontiformes, Rivulidae. The record is from RefSeq and is a predicted model, not a curated record. The transcript is spliced from 3 exons.
UCCACAUCAGGCUGUCUGAGCUCAGGAUCAUCAGCUGUGAUCUGAUGUCUCAGAUCAUUCUUCUGACUGAUGCUCGUCUUAUCUCUGCGGUGUUACAUGGUGACGGUUCUGCUGGACUUCCUCUGGAGGCCUCCACCAUCAAACAGCCGAAGUCGUCUGAUUAGUCGACGCCGCCUURUUGGGCUUUCGGCUGUUUACACCUGGAACAAAUGAAGCAGAGAGUAUCUCUGAGGUUUGGAAACCCUCGAGUGGGCAAAUCAAUCCCAGCUUUAUCCCGGAGAGCCCGGAUGGAUCAGAGGUGGAGCUGAGUGCAGGUCACUCAAGGUCUUCGGCUCACAUUUUAGCUGCUUUCUGUUCAUUAUUGUGAUUAUGCUGAGUCAGCGUUAGUUUGGAAUCUAACUCUGAAUACUUUGAUGUUUUACCUGUUCAUAAAUCAAAACAUU